CCUUUUGUCCCCUGCUACCAAGUCAGGUAGGGACCAUAACUGUCUAGGAUCCUAGGAUCAGGAGCUAGGGUGGGUUUAGGGGGAAUCUCUGGGACCAGCCCCCAAACACUCCCAGCUGCUUCCUCCAGCAUGCGACACUUCCUCCUGCAUCUCAGGCUCGGGGUUAUUAAUAGCAGAUACAGGGUGAAGCCAGAGACCCAACAAGGACAAGAGAUGACCAGCUAGAUCCUGAAGGUCCGUCAACACCGUCAUAGCCACCUGCUUGGGAGCCACUCAGGAGCAACAGGACCAACCCCCAUCAGUCUCAGGGAGGGCCCUAAGGGGUAACUUCUCAUUCCACACCCUCUCCUAAACCUCCAGAAGUGGCAAGCAGAGCCCACGGCACCCAGGUUGUCAGCUGGAGCACAGUUCAUGCGAAGCCCUCUUAGUGUAACGGACACUGAGUGCUCUUGCAGGAAAACACUCAUCAUUGGCUCAAUCUGGAAGCAUUUCCAAAAGUCACCUGUCUGACACAGACAACAACAGAGACCCUAUGCGCCUGGCAAUAGCACCUA
Mastomys coucha (southern multimammate mouse) is the source of this 554-nucleotide long non-coding RNA. RefSeq lists it as uncharacterized. Lineage: Eukaryota; Metazoa; Chordata; Mammalia; Rodentia; Muridae. The transcript is spliced from 2 exons. The record is from RefSeq and is a predicted model, not a curated record.